CCCUUUCCCAGGGGAGGGGCUGGGUUUAUGUUGGGAGAACUUUUACGGUGAACCAGGAGGUUCUCCCAACGUAAGCCCAGCCCCUCCCCUCUGCCUGCCUCAACCCUACAC
This 111-nucleotide microRNA precursor is filed under the name Gorilla gorilla (western gorilla). Its description in RNAcentral is "microRNA ggo-mir-629 precursor". Its record names the gene ggo-mir-629. The stretch from base 9 to 91 matches the Rfam family "mir-629 microRNA precursor family". RNAcentral also lists the same sequence under 1 other name. Lineage: Eukaryota; Metazoa; Chordata; Mammalia; Primates; Hominidae. The record is from miRBase by way of RNAcentral.